RNAcentral lists this ribosomal RNA (301 nucleotides) under uncultured bacterium. Its description in RNAcentral is "partial 16S ribosomal RNA". It matches the Rfam family "Bacterial small subunit ribosomal RNA", at positions 509 to 807 of the family's 1533-position model. The record is from RNAcentral.
CAGUCGCCACGGUAAAACGUAGGGUGCGAGCGUUAAUCGGAAUUACUGGGCGUAAAGCGUGCGCAGGCGGUUUUGUAAGACAGGCGUGAAAUCCCCGGGCUCAACCUGGGAAUGGCGCUUGUGACUGCAAAGCUAGAGUGCGGCAGAGGGGGAUGGAAUUCCGCGUGUAGCAGUGAAAUGCGUAGAUAUGCGGAGGAACACCGAUGGCGAAGGCAAUCCCCUGGGCCUGCACUGACGCUCAUGCACGAAAGCGUGGGGAGCAAACAGGAUUAGAUACCCGCGUAGUCCCUGUCUCUUAUAC